Molecule: ribosomal RNA, 353 nt
Filed under: uncultured eukaryote
Lineage: Eukaryota
Description: LSU rRNA
Rfam family: Bacterial large subunit ribosomal RNA
Source: RNAcentral
GCUUUGUCUGCGCAGGAUAGGUGGGAGGCGUUGAAAGUUUUCUUGCGGGAAGAUUUGAGCCAUUGGUGAGAUACCACUCUAACAAUGCUAGGAUUCUAACCCUAUGUCGUUAUCCGGCUAGGGGACAGUUUCAGGUGGUCAGUUUGACUGGGGCGGUCGCCUCCUAAAAGGUAACGGAGGCGUGCAAAGGUUCCCUCAGGCUGGUUGGAAAUCAGUCGUAGAGUGUAAAGGCAUAAGGGAGCUUGAUUGUGAGACCUACAAGUCGAACAAAGACGAAAGUCGGCCUUAGUGAUCCGGCGGUACCGAGUGGAAGGGCCGUCGCUCAACGGAUAAAAGUUACUCUAGGGAUAACA